AUCCCAGGUGAUCCCAGGUGUGCCCAGGUGUGCCCAGGUGUGCCCAGGUGAACUGACCUGUCCCGCCCCGCAGUGACAACGGCGGCCCCGCCGGGCGGAGCCAGAGCGUCGCCAUCGCCGUCAGGUACCAGGUGUUCCUGGUGCUGGCCAGCUCCCCCGACUCCACGCGUUACCUGAACGUCACCAAGGGCGGGGCCCUUCCCCCCUCUGCCCCCGUCACCCACCACUACCAGGUGAAGGUCCUGGGCCAGCGCGGCGUCGCCGCCAACGUUUCCUUCCUGGUCCCGUCUCACCUGGGCCCGGAGCCGCUCUGGGAGCACCUGGAGCUCACAC
This 333-nucleotide long non-coding RNA is filed under the name Lonchura striata (white-rumped munia). RNAcentral's name for it is "domestica (Bengalese finch) lncRNA (ENSLSDG00000008240.1)". The record is from RNAcentral. Lineage: Eukaryota; Metazoa; Chordata; Aves; Passeriformes; Estrildidae.